This 443-nucleotide ribosomal RNA is filed under the name uncultured bacterium. RNAcentral describes it as "partial 16S ribosomal RNA". It matches the Rfam family "Bacterial small subunit ribosomal RNA", at positions 338 to 795 of the family's 1533-position model. The record is from RNAcentral.
CCUACGGGUGGCAGCAGUGGGGAAUAUUGGGCAAUGGAGGAAACUCUGACCCAGCAACGCCGCGUGAAUGAUGAAGGUCUUCGGAUUGUAAAGUUCUUUUCUAAGGGAAGAAGAAAGUGACGGUACCUUAGGAAUAAGCCUCGGCUAACUACGUGCCAGCAGCCGCGGUAAUACGGAGGAGGCAAGCGUUAUCCGGAAUGGCUGGGUGUAAAGGGUGCGUAGGUGGUUUGGUAAGUUAGGAGGGUAAUUCCGGGGCUCAACCUCGGCCCUGCUACGAAAACUGUCGGACUUGAGUGCAGGAGGGGCAACUGGAAUUCCUGGUGUAGCGGUGGAAUGCGUAGAUAUUAGGAAGAACACCGGUGGCGAAGGCGGGUUGCUGGAGUGUAACUGACACUGAGGCACGAAAGCGUGGGGAGCGAACAGGAUUAGAUACCCCAGUAGUC